This 446-nucleotide ribosomal RNA is filed under the name uncultured bacterium. RNAcentral describes it as "partial 16S ribosomal RNA". It matches the Rfam family "Bacterial small subunit ribosomal RNA", at positions 29 to 523 of the family's 1533-position model. The record is from RNAcentral.
AACGAACGCUAGCGGCAGGCUUAACACAUGCAAGUCGAACGCCCCGCAAGGGGAGUGGCAGACGGGUGAGUAACGCGGGGGAACGUGCCCUUCGCUUCGGAAUAGCCCCGGGAAACUGGGAGUAAUACCGGAUACGCCGUAUUGGGAAAGAUUUAUCGGCGAAGGAUCGGCCCGCGUUGGAUUAGCUAGUUGGAGGUGUAAUGGACCCCCAAGGCUACGAUCCAUAGCUGGUCUGAGAGGAUGAUCAGCCACACUGGGACUGAGACACGGCCCAGACUCCUACGGGAGGCAGCAGUGGGGAAUCUUGGACAAUGGGCGCAAGCCUGAUCCAGCCAUGCCGCGUGAGUGAAGAAGGCCUUAGGGUUGUAAAACUCUUUCGCCGGAGAAGAUAAUGACGGUAUCCGGAGAAGAAGCCCCGGCUAACUUCGUGCCAGCCGCCGCCGUAA